GGGCGAUUAGCUCAGCGGUAGAGCACUUCAUUGACAUUGAAGGGGUCACAAGUUCGAUCCUUGUAUCGCCCACCA
This 75-nucleotide transfer RNA is filed under the name Ascidiaceihabitans sp. RNAcentral's name for it is "tRNA-Val". It matches the Rfam family "tRNA". From Rfam's summary of the family: Transfer RNA (tRNA) molecules are approximately 80 nucleotides in length. The record is from RNAcentral. RNAcentral also lists the same sequence under 3 other names. Lineage: Bacteria; Pseudomonadati; Pseudomonadota; Alphaproteobacteria; Rhodobacterales; Paracoccaceae.